Halichondria panicea is the source of this 726-nucleotide long non-coding RNA. RefSeq lists it as uncharacterized. The record is from RefSeq and is a predicted model, not a curated record. Lineage: Eukaryota; Metazoa; Porifera; Demospongiae; Suberitida; Halichondriidae. The transcript is spliced from 2 exons.
CAGUCGAACACCUAUUAGUGCUGAUCAUAUGAUCUCCAGCCAAUCAGCUUAUCUGAAAUUGGUCAGGUGACCAUGGAUUAAAUAUCUUAAUCCACACUUAAUGCUUUAAGUUGUUAUAUAAGUGUGGAUUAAGUUGGUUUGUUAAUACACACUUUUUAUCAAACAAUCAUAAUUAGGGUUUCCACACAAAAAAUCUAAUCUCUGCAAAAUGGUAUUUUGAGUGAUUGUGCAUACAAAGCAACUAAAAUAAAGCAGGCAGCCAAAAUUUCACGUUGAAAUAUCUUUUUUUUCUUGCACAAUAUCAGCCGUAAACUCUCACCACAACUAUGCACUUGCAUGCAAUAUUUCCACUCUAAACAAAGCACACUUCAAAGUUAAAUUUCAAAACUAUUGUUGAAGCAUAGAUAAAGAAAUUUUGUGCUGCAAUUCUACACUUCAAGUGGCCUUGUAUAUGAACUACAACAACAGGUGAACAAUUUGGUGGAACUUGUCGGGUCCAAAAACUAAGAACUAAGUUUAGAGAGGUAAAAACGGAGCUGGAAGAGUCGUCACAAGUAUAGACGUUGAUGGCAUUUGUGACAUUUUAAAGGACCCUAUAACAGGAGUGAACACUUAAUACAACAAUUGCAUGUAUACUACACACAUUUCUAUGUAGUCUCUUCUGACUUUAAGAUUGCGUUAUUGUUCACAGUAUUCUGACAAUAAUAAUUUUAUUUUUCAAAGUUA